Long non-coding RNA from Anguilla anguilla (European eel), 468 nucleotides. RefSeq lists it as uncharacterized. The record is from RefSeq and is a predicted model, not a curated record. NCBI's taxonomy places the organism in Eukaryota, Metazoa, Chordata, Actinopteri, Anguilliformes, Anguillidae. The transcript is spliced from 3 exons.
GUGAUUCUGGCUGUCUGAACCUGAAACGGGUUUCAGGGAAAUUCGUGGAACUAUUAAAGAAAACAGAACACUAUACAUUUAUUUAAUAAAAAGUAAGACUGCUAAAAUUAACAAUGCUGAUGACCUUCGCAGUCGAACAGUUAGAACCUGAGCGUCAGCGAACUGGGACCGUUCACUCUGUUGAAAAUUCAGGAGGCGGCUCAAGAGACAAUAGAUUGGGUGUUCGGAGUUUUUUUCAUGAUGGUAGGAAUUCUUCAACUGUAGAGGUCUUCCUUAGCCUACCAGACCCUUUGUGAUUUCUGAGCUCACCAGUUCUGUCUUCUUAAUGAUAUUCCAAACAGUUGACUCAGGGGGUACUACAGCUCCAGUUUGAGAGAUCGCUAUCUACCUCUAGCGUUCAUCUGAGGUAUUGCAGCAUCAUGGUGUAAAGAAGUUGAAUUUGAGCAUUGCCCCAUGUUAAUGAAAGUA